Long non-coding RNA from Triticum dicoccoides, 1806 nucleotides. RefSeq lists it as uncharacterized. Lineage: Eukaryota; Viridiplantae; Streptophyta; Magnoliopsida; Poales; Poaceae. The transcript has 3 exons. The record is from RefSeq and is a predicted model, not a curated record.
CUAAAAAAUCCCCUCUACGCCGCCCGGCGCAUGACCGCCCGAUUCGGCGCCUCCCGCUGGAGACCGCCCGCCUCCGACGAGGGCCACGCCAGUGAUCUCCCCUCAGCCCGCCUGCCCCCUCCUUUCAUCUCCGUUCUACUCCUUCUCUCUCGGCCCCAUCGAGCUCGCCUCGAUCCAUGGCCCCUCCUUAAACCUAGCUCCGGUCUCGGCCACGACCGGCCUCACAGAUCUCGGCCGCCAUCCCCUACGCCUCCCCCCGCGUCUCCCUCACCUCGCUCGUGCAGCACCAUGGCUGCACGUCGCCUGCGCCAUCUGCUGCAGCCCCGCUCUAAACCACUUGCAUGCCAUGGGCAGCGGCCAUGGAGGACACACCUCCGCCUGCUCACUCGCCGCUGGCCAGCCAGUACCUCCACCAACAUCUCAUCCAUCUAGAUCAGUGGCCCUUUAAUUUUAGCGGAUUUUCUUCUUCUUUACAGCAUGCUAAUUAGCUAGGAUAUAGUCUUGAUUUCAAUUAUUGCAGAAUGGCAAUCUGCUUUAUGUUGGUUUUAUCAUCUCAGGAUAAUCCAGAUGUUCUCAUAUGCCUUGAGGAGUUGUCGGUGGAUUAUAUGCAGAGGCUACCAAGUGGUAGCUCCAAUGUUGCAAGAGGUCAGUAAUGGGUGCUUCUUCUGGGAUGGCUCACCUGAGAUACCAACGCUGAAGGAUCUGAAUUUUCAAGCUCAGCAAGGCCUGCAUGUUGCAGUCUGUGGGACGGCCGGCUCUGGAAAAUCAAGUUUGCUCUCUUGAAUGGUAUGGUUCCAAAGCUAUUAGGAGAGGCCAAGACUUGCAGAACAAUGCCAUAUGUCAGCCAGACUGCAUGGAUACAAAGCGACAAAAUUCAGGACAACAUACUGCUCGGCAAGACGAUGGAGAGGGAGAAGUAUGGAAGGGUCCUUGAGUGGUGUUCGCUAAAGAAAGACUUGGAGAUCAGAAAUCAUUGGAGAGUGAGUCUGCACUCUUAGUGCCUGGCAGAAGCAAAGGACUCGGAUAGCUCGAGCAUUGUAUCAGUAUGCUGACAUCUAUUUAUUCCAUGAUCCGUUCAACGCAGUUGACAUACAGGAUCCCAAUUUUUCAAGAUCGAUGGUUUCGUCGUGGUCGGCAGGAGAAAUAUCAUCAAUGGUACGGAAAAAGGCAGGUAGGCUGAGGCGGGCGCCCACACCGAGCAGCCGAUCCAGGAAACCAGCCCUGCGGCACCCCCUCGUGCCAGUCCCCAUCUCUAUGUUUGUGUUAGGCCUAGUGCAAGGUAUUGGUAGAAGAGAAGGCCGGAAAGAGAAGCUGCAUGGUAGGAGGCUUUUGAUCUGAAGGCAAGUUGGAUGAUCUGCUGACAAAGAAACACCUCUAUUCUGAAUUUCUACUUGAAACAAUUGAUCAGAUCACAAAUGUACCUUGGUUAUGUCUCUCACUGUGUGCUGAACAAUGUUUUGCCUAUUUUCAUCUUGGUUGCUGACAUUGUUGGUGUUAUCUAUCAAAGAAAGUUGUUGAAGUGAAAGAUGAAGAUGAACCCGUAGAAGAGCUGAAAAAAGGACGUGGUAGAAAGAAGGAAGCGAAGCCUAAACAGUAUAAUGAUUACUGCCUCGCCCAGCCGUGCAUCCAAGAUGCGACGCUUGCUGGAAAGCUGGUCAAGUAGGCCCUCGACUGCGAGUUUUAGCUGAUUGAUCCUGCACAUCAGCCUAACUGCUACAAUAAAUGGACUUACAACAGUGAUUCUUUCUAUAUUGAAUUUCUAUAUUCGACCUCACCAUUGCUUAGUUUCCUUUCCUGAUGUCAAGA